This 301-nucleotide ribosomal RNA is filed under the name uncultured bacterium. RNAcentral describes it as "partial 16S ribosomal RNA". It matches the Rfam family "Bacterial small subunit ribosomal RNA", at positions 509 to 807 of the family's 1533-position model. The record is from RNAcentral.
CAGUCGCCGCGGGAACACGAAGGGUGCAAGCGUUACUCGGAAUUACUGGGCGUAAAGCGUGCGUAGGUGGUGGUUUAAGUCCGUUGUGAAAGCCCUGGGCUCAACCUGGGAAUUGCAGUGGAUACUGGGUCACUAGAGUGUGGUAGAGGAUAGUGGAAUUUCCGGUGUAGCGGUGAAAUGCGUAGAGAUCGGGAGGAACAUCAGUGGCGAAGGCGGCCAUCUGGGACAACACUGACGCUGAGGCACGAAAGCGUGGGGAGCAAACAGGAUUAGAGACCCCCGUAGUCCCUGUCUCUUAUAC